AGAAGGUGCUGACUUGAAUUGGUGGAGGGAGUUUCCUCACCUGGAAAUUCUCUACACUGGUGAAAUCACAAGUCUGGCAAACACAAAGAUACUUAAUAUGUUCAUGAUGUAUCAUGGUACAGUGGAAAGAGUGCUGAAUUUGGAGUCAAAAGUUCUGGGUUCGAAUCCUGUCUCUUCUAUUUAACUCAUUUAACUUCUCUGGGCCUCAGUUUCCUCUUCUGUAAUAUGACAGGGUUGGACUAGAUCAGGAGCAUCAAACAUGCAGACCGCUGGCCACAUCCCAGCCCACAACACUCCCGAGUGGAGACUGAAUUAGAUUAAAAUGUAAUCGGGAAAUAUUUAACAAAAACAAACAUAGAUAAUGUUAAUAUGUGAUUUUCUGUGCCUGCAGAGAUCCUUCCGUAUGGUUUAGUGGCCCCUGUUUGACAGCACUGGAGUGGAUGAAUGACCUCUAAGGUUGCUUCCAAAGUCCCUUUCACAAACUAGGAUUCUAAGAUGGCAUACGCACUUAACAUUUAAGUGCUCUGACACUCAGCGAUUCAAUAAUUCUGGGUUACAUGCUGUGUACAGGGAUGUUCCAAAGUAAGAACUGGAUAGAAAACGCUCAGACAUCCUGGAAGAAGAGUGACUCCCUCCCCACCCCCCAAAACAACAACAACAAUAACCAGGAAUGCCCAAGUGAAGAGCUCUUCUUCCUCUAGCCCAGUGGGUCUCAAACAUGGUGAACACUUCCAUCAUUUCAGCUUGGCUUGUCGUUUCCUUCCAGUCCUUGACUUCUAGAAGACAGACAUAAUAUUCUUACGAUCAUUAUUGGUAAUAAUAAGCUAGCAAUUCUUACAUUUCUACCUUAAUUCUUUAUGGGGCCACGAUUUCAUCCAUGUGACCAUUCCCUUUGGUGCUAAGUGUAAUACACCCACAUCUCAUCCAGUGUACUUCUUGCCUCUGCUCUCCCAUAGACACUGCAAAAGAUUUCUCCAACAAAUGAAAGGCCUUCCCUUGGGUCUCUUGGCAUUUUGUGGGUACCAGUACACACCAACUGUCAUCAUCCCUCAAUGUCUCUGCCAUGUUUGGCCUACCUCCUUUUCCCACGAUUCAUUUCCCUUCUUACUGUCAAGGGCACCACCAUCCUCUUGAUGGGGUACUCGGGCCCCAGCCCUAAGAUUAUGUCUCUGAACGCCUCCCAAUUUCUCAGUAGGCCCACUUCCUGUGAGAAAAUAGGCUCUUGUUGCAGAAUACAUUCUCUUAUCAGAGCAAAAACGGGGGUGCCUGGCCCAAGGACUUUUGUCCCUGGCUGGCCCAAAGACUCUAUCUCCCUCCUGGCUCCAGAUCCCCAAGGUUCAUGCCUCUGACAGCUCCCUUAAUGUCUGGUGUACUCCCUAUACUUUUCCAUCCAUAAAUCCCAAAGACACCUGAAUCCCUUAGGUCACCUGAUGAGUAUCCCUGGCAUUCCUUGCCCAUUCCCCUUUUCCAUAUAAACCCCAGCACCAUCUUCAGUCUCUCCCAGGUUCCCUUAAGGACCCAUGCCCGCUUUUGCUAGAGCGUUACAAUAAACUUUUUGCCACUUGACUAAGA
Long non-coding RNA from Vombatus ursinus (common wombat), 1572 nucleotides. RefSeq lists it as uncharacterized. The record is from RefSeq and is a predicted model, not a curated record. The transcript has 2 exons. NCBI's taxonomy places the organism in Eukaryota, Metazoa, Chordata, Mammalia, Diprotodontia, Vombatidae.